AUUCAGCUAACGAGUCCCGAAUACGACGAAACUCGCGUCCUGGAU
Molecule: non-coding RNA, 45 nt
Filed under: Schistosoma margrebowiei
Lineage: Eukaryota; Metazoa; Platyhelminthes; Trematoda; Strigeidida; Schistosomatidae
Source: RNAcentral